Molecule: ribosomal RNA, 253 nt
Filed under: uncultured bacterium
Lineage: Bacteria
Description: partial 16S ribosomal RNA
Rfam family: Bacterial small subunit ribosomal RNA
Source: RNAcentral
UACAGAGGGUGCGAGCGUUGUCCGGAAUCACUGGGCGUAAAGGGUGCGUAGGUGGCUCGUUAAGCGUGUGGUGAAAGCCUGGGGCUCAACCCCAGGUCUGCCGUGCGAACUGGCGAGCUUGAGCAUAGUAGAGGCAGGCGGAAUUCCGGGUGUAGCGGUGGAAUGCGUAGAUAUCCGGAAGAACACCGGUGGCGAAGGCGGCCUGCUGGGCUAUUGCUGACGCUGAGGCGCGACAGCGUGGGGAGCAAACAGG